Monopterus albus (swamp eel) is the source of this 232-nucleotide long non-coding RNA. RefSeq lists it as uncharacterized. The record is from RefSeq and is a predicted model, not a curated record. NCBI's taxonomy places the organism in Eukaryota, Metazoa, Chordata, Actinopteri, Synbranchiformes, Synbranchidae. The transcript has 3 exons.
AGAUGAGCUGUCUUGUAGUAGCUGUGCUUGCUGUGUACGCCUUCCUACCCGGCAUCUACACAGUCGAGUGGUGUUAUGAUCGGCCAAGCUGCAAUGCCUCCACCUGGCCGACCAGUUUUCCAAAUUAUUGCAGUGGAAAGAGACAGUCACCCAUUAACAUCAUCUCAGCAUCUGCCCAACCCAACUCCAACCUGACUCCGUUCACCUUUCAAAACUUCAGCAACCCCUCUGC